GGUUUGUACACAACGAAGUCUACGAGGCCGCAGAGGCCUAUCUAGCCACCAAGAUCUCUCCUUCAAACAAAAGAAUCAAAGUGAGUAAACACGAGAAAGAAAACAACUACAACGUCACCGUGGAACGUGACGAGGAAGUUGUGGAUACCUUCAACGGCGUCAAGUUCCGGUGGGUUCUCCAUUGCCGCCAUGUUGAGUCCAAGAACUUCCACAACCCACGGGAUCUAAACUCCACACUCAAAUCAGAAGUCAGAUCAUUCGAGCUCAGCUUCCACAAGAAGUUCAAGGACAUGGCUCUUGAGUCUUACUUGCCAUUCAUGGUCAAAAGAGCUGCGGUGGUGAAGCAAGAAAAGAAAACACUCAAGAUCUUUACUCUUGACCCAGAUAACAUGUAUGGGAACUACUCAGAGGCUUGGACCUCUGUGAUUCUUGACCAUCCUUCUUCCUUCAAGACCAUAGCAAUGGAUUCAGAUGUCAAGAGAAACGUGAUGGACGAUCUUGACCAGUUUGUGAAGCGAAGGGACUUCUAUAAAAGGGUUGGUAAAGCUUGGAAGAGAGGUUACUUGUUGUACGGUCCACCAGGUACAGGGAAGUCAAGCUUGAUCGCAGCCAUGGCUAAUCAUCUCAACUUUGAUGUUUAUGACCUAGAGUUGACCGCGGUUAGCAACAACUCCGAGCUACGGAGAUUGCUGAUUGCUACUGCUAACCGCUCUAUUCUUGUUGUGGAAGAUAUCGACUGUUCAAUCGAGUUGAAAGAUAGGGCAGCUGAUGAACCUCCACGUGAGUCCGAAGAAAGUAAUGACCCACGUUACAAAAAGGUGACACUCUCUGGACUACUAAAUUUUAUUGAUGGUCUAUGGUCAAGUUGUGGCGAUGAAAGGAUCAUAAUAUUCACGACCAAUUACAAAGAGAAACUGGAUGCAGCGUUGUUGAGGCCAGGACGCAUGGAUAUGCACAUUCACAUGUCCUACUGCACACCGAGUACUUUCAAAGUUCUUGCUUCAAACUAUUUAGAGAUCAAAGAACAUAAGCUUUUCAGCAAGAUCGGGGAAGGUAUUGAGGCAACCGAGGUUAGUCCUGCUGAGGUGGCGGAACAACUCAUGAAGAAUGACACGGUUGAUAAAGUUCUUGAAGGUUUAGUUGAGUUCUUGAAAGUGAAAAAGAUCCAAAACGAAGAAGAGAAAGCCAAGAAGGAAGAGAAAGAAUUGGAGAACAAGGACAAGACCACUAAGGGUAAAGAUUCGGAGGUUAAGAAAAACGAAGUGGUGGAUGAACAGGUUACGAGGAAUGAUCGUGUUGAUAAGGUUCUUGAAUAAUAUUUGAUUUUUGGAAUUUACUGUAACUACUUGAUAUCGUUUGCUAUUUGUAUUCCUCCAUUGGAAGUUGUUGUUUUCCUAUAAAAUAAAUGCAUAUAUAUAGCUUAUUCAAACUAGUACCACGCCAGAUCUUCAAAGCAAUUAAAAUUAUAUUUGAUUCAAACAUUUUGUUCUUUUACAUGAUUUGGAGUUGAUUGUGAUAAUAAUAUACAAGUCGCUAUAUUUUCUCUAAGAUUACCUUUAAUAGAAGAAUGACCCACACGUUAAGUCAGUCUUUGUUUACUAUUUAUUUCUAAUUUUCGUUUGAAGCACGUUCUUUUCUCAUGUCGACAAAUCAGAAAAACCACAUGACCAAGUCAUGGGACCCCCACUAGAACUCAACUUUUCUUUGUCUUUUUAAUUAUUUUAUUAGAAAGAAACUUCGACGUUGUUGCAACGAAAUGAUCCUCGCUUAUUCCUUGCUUCUAUUAGUCCAUGGUUCCCACUAAUAAUAAAUAUGAGUUCUGGGUACUCAGAACAAAGACACCCCAAAGCCAAAGAAAAUGAGUUCCUCUGACUCUUCUUCCGCGGAAACCCGUCUAGCCACGGCUAAGACGGUUCUCACAACCGCCGCAUCAGUGGCUGCAACCGCAAUGCUAGCUAAAUCACUAGUCCAAGACUAUUUGCCAGACGAGGUGCACCAAUACAUCUCUUAUGGCUUCCGCAUUAUCUUUGGCUACUUCUCAUCUCAAAUGACAAUAGUCAUCGAAGAGUUUGAAGGGUUUGUACACAACGAAGUCUACGAGGCCGCAGAGGCCUAUCUAGCCACCAAGAUCUCUCCUUCAAACAAAAGAAUCAAAGUGAGUAAACACGAGAAAGAAAACAACUACAACGUCACCGUGGAACGUGACGAGGAAGUUGUGGAUACCUUCAACGGCGUCAAGUUCCGGUGGGUUCUCCAUUGCCGCCAUGUUGAGUCCAAGAACUUCCACAACCCACGGGAUCUAAACUCCACACUCAAAUCAGAAGUCAGAUCAUUCGAGCUCAGCUUCCACAAGAAGUUCAAGGACAUGGCUCUUGAGUCUUACUUGCCAUUCAUGGUCAAAAGAGCUGCGGUGGUGAAGCAAGAAAAGAAAACACUCAAGAUCUUUACUCUUGACCCAGAUAACAUGUAUGGGAACUACUCAGAGGCUUGGACCUCUGUGAUUCUUGACCAUCCUUCUUCCUUCAAGACCAUAGCAAUGGAUUCAGAUGUCAAGAGAAACGUGAUGGACGAUCUUGACCAGUUUGUGAAGCGAAGGGACUUCUAUAAAAGGGUUGGUAAAGCUUGGAAGAGAGGUUACUUGUUGUACGGUCCACCAGGUACAGGGAAGUCAAGCUUGAUCGCAGCCAUGGCUAAUCAUCUCAACUUUGAUGUUUAUGACCUAGAGUUGACCGCGGUUAGCAACAACUCCGAGCUACGGAGAUUGCUGAUUGCUACUGCUAACCGCUCUAUUCUUGUUGUGGAAGAUAUCGACUGUUCAAUCGAGUUGAAAGAUAGGGCAGCUGAUGAACCUCCACGUGAGUCCGAAGAAAGUAAUGACCCACGUUACAAAAAGGUGACACUCUCUGGACUACUAAAUUUUAUUGAUGGUCUAUGGUCAAGUUGUGGCGAUGAAAGGAUCAUAAUAUUCACGACCAAUUACAAAGAGAAACUGGAUGCAGCGUUGUUGAGGCCAGGACGCAUGGAUAUGCACAUUCACAUGUCCUACUGCACACCGAGUACUUUCAAAGUUCUUGCUUCAAACUAUUUAGAGAUCAAAGAACAUAAGCUUUUCAGCAAGAUCGGGGAAGGUAUUGAGGCAACCGAGGUUAGUCCUGCUGAGGUGGCGGAACAACUCAUGAAGAAUGACACGGUUGAUAAAGUUCUUGAAGGUUUAGUUGAGUUCUUGAAAGUGAAAAAGAUCCAAAACGAAGAAGAGAAAGCCAAGAAGGAAGAGAAAGAAUUGGAGAACAAGGACAAGACCACUAAGGGUAAAGAUUCGGAGGUUAAGAAAAACGAAGUGGUGGAUGAACAGGUUACGAGGAAUGAUCGUGUUGAUAAGGUUC
This 3383-nucleotide long non-coding RNA is filed under the name Brassica napus (rape). Its description in RNAcentral is "long non-coding RNA (BNAP_LNC008145)". The record is from RNAcentral. Lineage: Eukaryota; Viridiplantae; Streptophyta; Magnoliopsida; Brassicales; Brassicaceae.